This 251-nucleotide ribosomal RNA is filed under the name uncultured bacterium. RNAcentral describes it as "partial 16S ribosomal RNA". It matches the Rfam family "Bacterial small subunit ribosomal RNA", at positions 524 to 776 of the family's 1533-position model. The record is from RNAcentral.
UACGGAAGGUGCGAGCGUUGUUCGGAUUGAUUGGGCGUAAAGCGCAUGUAGGCGGGUUUGUAAGUCGGAUGUGAAAUCCCCGGGCUUAACCUGGGAACUGCGUUUGAAACUACAAGGCUAGAGUGUGGCAGAGGGGGUGGAAUUCCACGUGUAGCAGUGAAAUGCGUAGAGAUGUGGAGGAACACCGAUGGCGAAGGCAGCCCCCUGGGUUAACACUGACGCUCAGGCACGAAAGCGUGGGAGCAAACAGG